RNAcentral lists this ribosomal RNA (253 nucleotides) under uncultured bacterium. Its description in RNAcentral is "partial 16S ribosomal RNA". It matches the Rfam family "Bacterial small subunit ribosomal RNA", at positions 524 to 776 of the family's 1533-position model. The record is from RNAcentral.
GACGGAGGGUGCUAGCGUUGUUCGGAAUUACUGGGCGUAAAGGGUGCGUAGGCGGGUUUUUAAGUCAGGGGUGAAAUCCUGGAGCUCAACUCCAGAACUGCCUUUGAUACUGAAGAUCUUGAGUCCGGGAGAGGUGAGUGGAACUGCGAGUGUAGAGGUGAAAUUCGUAGAUAUCAGGAGGAACACCAGCGGCGAAGGCGGCGCUCUGGGCCGGAACUGACGCUGAGGAGCGAAAGCGUGGGGAGCAAACAGG